AAGCCCCGGCUAACUUCGUGCCAGCAGCCGCGGUAAUACAGAGGGUGCGAGCGUUAAUCGGAUUUACUGGGCGUAAAGCGUGCGUAGGCGGCUUUUUAAGUCGGAUGUGAAAUCCCUGAGCUUAACUUAGGAAUUGCAUUCGAUACUGGGAAGCUAGAGUAUGGGAGAGGAUGGUAGAAUUCCAGGUGUAGCGGUGAAAUGCGUAGAGAUCUGGAGGAAUACCGAUGGCGAAGGCAGCCAUCUGGCCUAAUACUGACGCUGAGGUACGAAAGCAUGGGGAGCAAACAGGAUUAGAUACCCUGGUAGUCCAUGCCGUAAACGAUGUCUACUAGCCGUUGGGGCCUUUGAGGCUUUAGUGGCGCAGCUAACGCGAUAAGUAGACCGCCUGGGGAGUACGGUCGCAAGACUAAAACUCAAAUGAAUUGACGGGGGCCCGCACAAGCGGUGGAGCAUGUGGUUUAAUUCGAAGCAACGCGCAGAACCUUACC
This 488-nucleotide ribosomal RNA is filed under the name uncultured bacterium. Its description in RNAcentral is "bacterial SSU rRNA". It matches the Rfam family "Bacterial small subunit ribosomal RNA", at positions 488 to 975 of the family's 1533-position model. The record is from RNAcentral.